AAUGAACGUUGGCGGCGUGGAUUAGGCAUGCAAGUCGUGCGAGAAGUUUUCCUGCUUGCAGGGAAAUGGACAGCGGCGAAAGGGAGAGUGACACGUGGCUUACCUACCCCCGGAUUCGGGAUAGCGGCGGGAAACUGCCGGUAAUACCGAAUAAUGUCUCCGGACCAAAGGUGUGAUUCCGUCUGGGGAUGGGGCCGCGUCCUAUUAGCUUGUUGGUGGGGUAACGGCCUACCAAGGCAAAGAUGGGUACCGGGUGUGAGAGCAUGGCCCGGCUCACUGGGACUGAGACACUGCCCAGACACCUACGGGUGGCUGCAGUCGAGAAUCUUCGGCAAUGGGCGAAAGCCUGACCGAGCGACGCCGCGUGCGGGAUGAAGGCCUUCGGGUUGUAAACCGCUGUCAGAGGGGAGGAAAUCUAUAGGGGUCAUCCCCUAUAGUUGACCUAUCUUCAGAGGAAGGACGGGCUAAGUUCGUG
This 475-nucleotide ribosomal RNA is filed under the name uncultured bacterium. RNAcentral describes it as "bacterial SSU rRNA". It matches the Rfam family "Bacterial small subunit ribosomal RNA", at positions 29 to 507 of the family's 1533-position model. The record is from RNAcentral.